UGUAGAGUAAAAAAAUAUAAAGAAUUAAAAAAAAUCUAAUCUACGAGUCACCGACCGACUGAUUAUGAUCAUCUUGCUACUGCUAGGCUGGGGUUGAUGAGGAUGUCCCGAGCAUCAGAGACUUAAUGAGGACCUCUUGGAUGAGUUGUAAGACCUCUGUUUGAUACCAGAAAUCACCUCCUUCUGCUUUUGACAGCAUACAAGUUUGUCCUUAUCUAACAUAGACCACACCUGCUACUACACAGUCUCGAUGACUCACGUCUCCAAAGGAUCUUAGAUGUCUAUCGUCUCCAAAGGAUCUUAGAUGUCUGUCGUCUCCAAAGGAUCUUAGAUGUCUGUCGCUCAGGACCUAGUAGGGUGCUACAGGACAAUCCAUUGGCUGAAGAAAAGGAUGCCAUAGCACCCAUCGCCUAUUGUCUAUAGGAAUAACUUUGUAGUGUCCGGUUCUAGUGGCUAUAUGGAUCCCUCAACUGGCUGAAAAAGCAGUCUCUACCAACUAAUGGUACUCAUUCUGAAAACAAAAAAUUAAAAUAUUAGAAAUAUUAUAGUUUUGGAAAAGAAUUAUACACAUAUAAAUUGGAAUUAUCACCUAAGUCUUGUGAGCGGCAAUCGAUGCACUGACGUGCCACCAUCUAAUGUAUGUCGGGUGGGCAUGACCUCGAACAACUUAACAUGGUCGGGCUACCAACCUAACUCACGUGCCUAAUGAUACAUUUAAAAAUCAGUAAUUAUAACACUUAAAAUGCUAAUAAAUCUAUGCAAUUCAAUUUAAAUUGGUAAUGUACCAUCCUCUUGGCUCACUCAACUAUAGAGAUUGAAACCCCCACCCCCCCUAUAGGUGACGAUCCUAAUCCCUCGUCCCUAGUCUCGCUACGUCGAUUCUUAGAGGUAGCAACACGCUUUCUCUGAAAUUGCUCAGAGGACCAGUAAGCCAUCCAACUACUCCAUACCUCUUCUCAGACCCUAUACGGGCUUUGACCCUUGGCCAUCUCUACUUGCACAGUUUGUCACUAUACUGGGUGCCACCUUGUGCGUACCACCUCUAAUUCACAGUGGUAUUAAGUCGAGGAUUCCAAUGCCAAACCUUUUAUAAUUUUUAAAAAUUAAGAAAAGUUCAAUUAAUAAUUUAUAAUAUAAGAAUUAGAACAGUUAACAAUAAAUAAUUUAUUCUGAAUUUAUCAUAGUAGAAGGCAACAAUGUCAUCUGGCACGCUCUUCCAAUCAUAUGCCCACUUGGAUGUAAAUGCAGAUGAAAGCUAUGGGUCAUGGUGGAUGAAGCAACAUACAACUGGAUGAACUAGUCACCGCAUUAAAAAAUUAAAAAAUUUAACAAAUUAAAGUAACACAGUAAGUAAAUUAUAAAACUAAAAUCCUAUGUUUCUAUAAUAUAAAAGUACCUUGUUGGAUCAAUCUCGAGGAGGCGUGACUUAUAUCUAGUCAUCCUACUGAUGGAGGGUGAUGGUGGUCCAGUCACGCUAGAAGCCUCAGCGCUGGACUCCCAACACCUUUACCACGCGAUGGCGCCUGUAGAAGCUAUAGGCAUGGGGGUGGUAGAGUAGCAGCCGCAGAUGUCUCUAGAAGCUCUGGGGGUGGUGGAGUUGUCGCUUAAGGUGCUGAUGGUGACACAAUAGAUACCUGAGGUGAUGUCACCAUAUCAAGUGGCGGUGGUAGCUGUCAUCGCCUACAUCUAACAUGGGCUAGAAUUACCGGUGGUCUGCCUCCGGAUCGCUAUACCUCCAUUAUCACCAGUGGAACCUCUAACCUUCUAUAAACUUAUGUUAAAAAUACAAAU
RNAcentral lists this long non-coding RNA (1791 nucleotides) under Ricinus communis (castor bean). Its description in RNAcentral is "long non-coding RNA (RCOM_LNC000632)". The record is from RNAcentral. Lineage: Eukaryota; Viridiplantae; Streptophyta; Magnoliopsida; Malpighiales; Euphorbiaceae.